RNAcentral lists this transfer RNA (73 nucleotides) under Spirochaetota bacterium. Its description in RNAcentral is "tRNA-Thr". It matches the Rfam family "tRNA". Rfam says of the family: Transfer RNA (tRNA) molecules are approximately 80 nucleotides in length. Their secondary structure includes four short double-helical elements and three loops (D, anti-codon, and T loops). Further hydrogen bonds mediate the characteristic L-shaped molecular structure. tRNAs have two regions of fundamental functional importance: the anti-codon, which is responsible for specific mRNA codon recognition, and the 3' end, to which the tRNAs corresponding amino acid is attached (by aminoacyl-tRNA synthetases). tRNAs cope with the degeneracy of the genetic code in two manners: having more than one tRNA (with a specific anti-codon) for a particular amino acid; and 'wobble' base-pairing, i.e. permitting non-standard base-pairing at the 3rd anti-codon position. The record is from RNAcentral. Lineage: Bacteria; Pseudomonadati; Spirochaetota.
GCCGGCGUAGCUCAAUCGGUAGAGCAAGUGAUUUGUAAUCACUAGGUUGAGGGUUCAAUUCCUUUCGCCGGCU